RNAcentral lists this unclassified non-coding RNA (540 nucleotides) under Hevea brasiliensis (rubber tree). The record is from RNAcentral. Lineage: Eukaryota; Viridiplantae; Streptophyta; Magnoliopsida; Malpighiales; Euphorbiaceae.
AUUUGAUUGCUCUAUUGCCAAUUAGUAAGCAAUAUUCAAGAAACUUUAUUUUGAAUUUCAUACUCAUUCAACAUUAGUGUUGCAUAAAUAUGACAAGGAAAACUAUAUGUAGCAGGAGCCGAAGCUUAUGGACUUCAAGUGGAUGGAUCAUUUGCGUUUUAGAGCAAUAAAUAGAAGAGUUGUUUCAGUUGAGGUGGCCUUUAGUUUUUCUGCCGCCUUGUUGGGAAAACGAUCAAACAAUUCAUCUAUAGUCUCACUUGCAAAAUGCUUGCUAAAAACACCCUCCAAUCCAGCCCUGAAGUGCAUCUUCCAUGCAUGGCCGCUGCGCAAGAUUUGCGCUUCAUUGCCAGGUACAGGGUCAAAUAGCUCCAUUCGCUCAAUUUUGAAGCUCCCAUUUCUUUCUACAAGCUCUAUCAUCUCCUUGGGAGAGGGAACAUACAUAGGCAAAUUGAAAGAGUCCACUUGAGCUUCGCUCACCAAUCCCUCUUUACACAUAUCCAUGAGGCAGGAUCCUAAAAGAUCGAGCAUCACAUUAACUAC